GAGCUUGCGGAACGGCGGGAGACCCCCCCCCGCUCCCCCCCUUCGUGUAAAGGGGGGAGUUUAGGGAAACCGGGCCCCCCCCCCCUCUCGGGGUUUUGGGGCUGGGGGGAACCCGGGGGUUUUUAGCGGGGUUCCCGGGGGGUUGUCGAUCCCCCCCCCCCCCCCCCACCCCCGGGCGACCCCCGGGGCCUGUUGCUCUAACUGCUGCUACUCAUCCAGAAAAGUGGGGAGGCAGCCCCCGGGGCGCUCUGGAGGGCUGGUGCGCGGCGCGGCCCGGGGGGCGCGGGCGAGCGGGUGGGGGGACCCGGAGCGCCGCGGCCGCUGCCCUGGGCGUCGCGCAUCCUUGCCCGGGGCCGAAGCCCUGGGAGAGAAGGGACGGAGGCGGGGGUGGGAGCUGUCCCCUCGUCACCCCUCUGCAGCCACCUUUCCUUUCUCCAGCGGCUCGGCCCCUGUAGUCGCGGGUGGCUGGGAGGAGAGGGUGCCCCUGCGUUGUGGGCUUCUCGGGCUAGCCAUCCGGGAGUGUGGGUUCGCACAAAGAUGGGCCCCCCGGCGAGGGGCCGGUGCGGGGCGGGUGCGGGCGCGAGAGCCCCUGACCCCCUUUGGAUGUGCCGAUGACGAGCUGCGAGCUUCGGAAGCCCCAAACUUCCUUCGGAGGGUUAAAGGAGUCCCUGUGUGUCCUGCUGGAGUGAGGAGGCUGUGGGCUGCAGCACCUGUUCUCACCGUGGGCAUUGCAAUCUUCAGAUGCGCAACGCACCACUUAGGGGCUAUGUGCAAGCUUAUUGGCUUCAUUAAAGUUGGAUUCUAUGUUUUGUGCAUAAUUCUUUAAAAGAGUGCAUCAUCUAGAAAGCUGUUUAGGAGCGAAGUCACUUAAACGCCAGAGAACUAUACUGAAAUAAUGGAGUAAGUUGUUGUCUCUGUUCUUUGAAAUAGCUUUAAAAGAACCUAAAGCCCUAUGCCAAAGGCCCUGUACUUUGCUAUCCUUGUGAAAUAUAAGACACGUAUAUAUAAAGUCUUAAUCUUAUAAAUACUACAGUAUUAAGAAGAUGGAAAUUCAAGUAUUUAAAUUGUGGUUUUACAGGCUUCGUGUGUAAAAACGUAGGGAGUUAGAGAUGAUUAGGUUGGAAAGAACAUUGAGGGGUGGUUGAAGGCAUGGACCUCCCUUUGCUGUUUUCAUGAACUGAGAAUUCUGUUUGAAGGGCUGAAAGACUGGAAUCAAACUUGCAUGGAUUGCAGAAACAGAUACCAAAAUGUAUCUUUGAUCAAGUAGUGAGUUAGCACGAAGGGUAUCUUGCGAUUCACUAGAUUAGAGGUUCAAAAUAAUUUCCAUAAAAUUGGCUUUGUAUAGCUUGUAUUCUAAGGAUGUUCUUGAGUUUAAAAAGUAAGUUCAGGUUGUUUUCUUGUAAGCCAGUUCUAUUUGAGACGUGUAAAAUUGACAGACUCUUUCUGAAUACAUUAUGUAGUGUUUUGUUACAGAUUCCAACUUGUUAUUUUAAGGAAUUAGAGUGUCUUUAAAAGUAGUGAAAUUUGAAAUUUGCUAGUGGGUUGGAAAAGCUUGGGUUCCUUCCUUAUGUUUCUAAAAUGCGGUUAUACUAGCAUGUUGGUCUGGAGGGGGAGCUAGUGCCAAAGCAAAGUGUAGCUUAAUAGAUGUUUGAGCUUUUAAAACACCUAACCCCAGGUUUUUAUGAAAGGAGAAAGAAAUCUUAAUGAAGGGCAGGGGAAUUGAUGGGUGCAUGUGUCUGCACAUGUCUUUGUGGGGUACAUACAUUGUGUAUUGCAAAUUGAUUUGAAAAUCUUCCUAGGAUCUGACAUGAUGGAAAGGAAGUGCAUAAGAUUUCUUGAACUUGCUGAUUUAAACUCAGAACAUGUAUCCUAAAACUUACUGUGUAACAGUAUUUUCUUAACUUUCUUGUGUACUGUAUCAGAAAGGUGUGUAUUCUUGACCCGUUUUGUAUUUUGUAUGUUUUUUAUGAAUAUUUAUAGUUGUGAAAUUUCAUAAAAAAUACUUCAGAUAGAGUCUUGGGUAGGCAGAGUGCAGAAAGCUGGGUGUUUGUCAAAAAGUAGAGAUCCUUUCAAUGAAGAAAUGGGCCUCUCGGACUUGCAGAGUGGCAGUAUCCAUCCCAAGGUCACUUCUUAACUGCUGUCUCCUGCAGUGCAAUGCAGUGAGUCCAGCUGAUCCAAAGUAAAUCUGCACCUUUGAAUAUGAAACAGUUAUUUUGUGGUCUGUGGCACUUUAUUUAGAUUUCUAAACUAUAGCUAAUUAGGGAUGUUAAUUUAUCUCUGACCUGUUACAUAUCUUUCUUUAUUUAAAAAUUUAUUUUGAUUUAAUUUGGAAGGCAGAGAGAGAGAGACAGAUACAGAGACAGAGAGAUUUUCCAUUCACUGGUUUACUCCCCAAAUGCUGGCAACAGCCAGGGAUGUGCCAGGGUGAAACCGGGAGCCUGUAAUUCAAUCUGGGUCUCCCCAAUGGGUGGCAGGGACCCAAGUACUUGAGCCACCACCUGCUGUCCUCCAGGGUGUGCAUUAGUAGGAAGCAGGUUUGGAAGAGGUUGCUCCCAUGUGAAAUAUGGAUGUCUCAAGUGGGGACUUAACUGCCCUGCCAGAUGUCCACCUCUUACAUAUUCUUUAAAUGACGUAUAUAUUGAAUUCAUUAAUAUAUUCUGUUUUCUGAGGAUAGUGAUUGAGUCCUUUGUUAACCAUAACAAAGUUAAAUAUAUUUUAUAAAUAGGAUUUCAAUGCUGAUAAAAUAAAAAAAUCUUCCAUUUCUUUAAUGCUUAUUUU
Molecule: long non-coding RNA, 2778 nt
Organism: Oryctolagus cuniculus (rabbit)
Lineage: Eukaryota; Metazoa; Chordata; Mammalia; Lagomorpha; Leporidae
Source: Ensembl